Molecule: ribosomal RNA, 451 nt
Filed under: uncultured bacterium
Lineage: Bacteria
Description: partial 16S ribosomal RNA
Rfam family: Bacterial small subunit ribosomal RNA
Source: RNAcentral
AGCGAACGCUGGCGGCAGGCUUAACACAUGCAAGUCGAGCGGGCGUAGCAAUACGUCAGCGGCAGACGGGUGAGUAACGCGUGGGAACGUACCUUUUGGUUCGGAACAACACAGGGAAACUUGUGCUAAUACCGGAUAAGCCCUUACGGGGAAAGAUUUAUCGCCGAAAGAUCGGCCCGCGUCUGAUUAGCUAGUUGGUGAGGUAACGGCUCACCAAGGCGACGAUCAGUAGCUGGUCUGAGAGGAUGAUCAGCCACAUUGGGACUGAGGCACGGCCCAAACUCCUACGGGAGGCAGCAGUGGGGAAUAUUGGACAAUGGGCGCAAGCCUGAUCCAGCCAUGCCGCGUGAGUGAUGAAGGCCCUAGGGUUGUAAAGCUCUUUUGUGCGGGAAGAUAAUGACGGUACCGCAAGAAUAAGCCCCGGCUAACUUCGUGCCAGCCGCCGCAGUAA